This is a non-coding RNA of Podarcis lilfordi (Lilford's wall lizard), 69 nucleotides long. Lineage: Eukaryota; Metazoa; Chordata; Lepidosauria; Squamata; Lacertidae. The record is from the annotation of a GenBank genome assembly.
GCUGUGGCCCAGUGUUAGGGCAUCUGCUUUGUACACAGAAAAUCCCUAGUUCAAUCCCCAGCAUCUCCA